CAGUGGAGAAAAGCUCAGAUCCAGUGGAGAGAAGCUCAGAUCCAGUGGACAGAAGCUCAGUUCCAGUGGUGAGAAGCUGAGAUCCAGUGAAGA
This is a long non-coding RNA of Dipodomys spectabilis (banner-tailed kangaroo rat), 93 nucleotides long. RefSeq lists it as uncharacterized. Lineage: Eukaryota; Metazoa; Chordata; Mammalia; Rodentia; Heteromyidae. The transcript has 2 exons. The record is from RefSeq and is a predicted model, not a curated record.